Non-coding RNA from Paenibacillus sp., 166 nucleotides. Lineage: Bacteria; Bacillati; Bacillota; Bacilli; Caryophanales; Paenibacillaceae. The record is from Rfam.
ACAUUUGAAUAUGUUUAACCGUAGACAGUAGGUGCUGUAACAGGCUUAAUUUCCUACCGAGGUGUUAUGAUAGAAUACCGGAUACUUGAGAGCGCAGAUUAGUCUGCGUCUCGGUUCCGCUCAAUCAAGCCUUCGUCAUUCUGCGGGGGCUUUUUUUAAUGUCCGU